GAUGAACGCUGGCGGCGUGCCUAAUACAUGCAAGUCGAGCGAACAGACGAGGAGCUUGCUCCUCUGACGUUAGCGGCGGACGGGUGAGUAACACGUGGAUAACCUACCUAUAAGACUGGGAUAACUUCGGGAAACCGGAGCUAAUACCGGAUAAUAUAUUGAACCGCAUGGUUCAAUAGUGAAAGACGGUUUUGCUGUCACUUAUAGAUGGAUCCGCGCCGCAUUAGCUAGUUGGUAAGGUAACGGCUUACCAAGGCAACGAUGCGUAGCCGACCUGAGAGGGUGAUCGGCCACACUGGAACUGAGCCACGGUCAAGACUCCUACGGGAGGCAGCAGUAGGGAAUCUUCCGCAAUGGGCGAAAGCCUGACGGAGCAACGCCGCGUGAGUGGUGAAGGUCUUCGGAUCGUAAAACUCUGUUAUUAGGGAAGAACAAAUGUGUAAGUAACUAUGCACGUCUUGACGGUACCUAAUCAGAAAGCCACGGCUAACUACGUG
This 497-nucleotide ribosomal RNA is filed under the name uncultured bacterium. Its description in RNAcentral is "partial 16S ribosomal RNA". It matches the Rfam family "Bacterial small subunit ribosomal RNA", at positions 28 to 507 of the family's 1533-position model. The record is from RNAcentral.